RNAcentral lists this ribosomal RNA (465 nucleotides) under Vreelandella stevensii. RNAcentral's name for it is "partial 16S ribosomal RNA". It matches the Rfam family "Bacterial small subunit ribosomal RNA", at positions 338 to 795 of the family's 1533-position model. Lineage: Bacteria; Pseudomonadati; Pseudomonadota; Gammaproteobacteria; Oceanospirillales; Halomonadaceae. The record is from RNAcentral.
CCUACGGGAGGCAGCAGUGGGGAAUAUUGGACAAUGGGGGCAACCCUGAUCCAGCCAUGCCGCGUGUGUGAAGAAGGCCCUCGGGUUGUAAAGCACUUUCAGUGAGGAAGAACGCCUGGUGGUUAAUACCCAUCAGGAAAGACAUCACUCACAGAAGAAGCACCGGCUAACUCCGUGCCAGCAGCCGCGGUAAUACGGAGGGUGCGAGCGUUAAUCGGAAUUACUGGGCGUGAAGCGCGCGUAGGUGGCUUGAUAAGCCGGUUGUGAAAGCCCCGGGCUCAACCUGGGAACGGCAUCCGGAACUGUCAAGCUAGAGUGCAGGAGAGGAAGGUAGAAUUCCCGGUGUAGCGGUGAAAUGCGUAGAGAUCGGGAGGAAUACCAGUGGCGAAGGCGGCCUUCUGGACUGACACUGACACUGAGGUGCGAAAGCGUGGGUAGCAAACAGGAUUAGAUACCCGGGUAGUC